This 423-nucleotide ribosomal RNA is filed under the name uncultured bacterium. RNAcentral's name for it is "bacterial SSU rRNA". It matches the Rfam family "Bacterial small subunit ribosomal RNA", at positions 207 to 622 of the family's 1533-position model. The record is from RNAcentral.
AAGACCUUGCGCUUUUGGAGCGGCCGAUGUCUGAUUAGCUUGUUGGUGAGGUAAAAGCUUACCAAGGCUUCGAUCAGUAGCUGGUUUGAGAGGACGGCCAGCCACACUGGGACUGAGACACGGCCCAGACUCCUACGGGAGGCAGCAGUGGGGAAUUUUGGACAAUGGGGGCAACCCUGAUCCAGCCAUGCCGCGUGAGUGAAGAAGGCCUUCGGGUUGUAAAGCUCUUUCAGCCGGAACGAAACGGUUACGGUUAAUACCCGUGACUACUGACGGUACCGGAAGAAGAAGCACCGGCUAACUACGUGCCAGCAGCCGCGGUAAUACGUAGGGUGCAAGCGUUAAUCGGAAUUACUGGGCGUAAAGCGUGCGCAGGUGGUUUUGUAAGUCAGAUGUGAAAUCCCCGGGCUUAACCUGGGAACU